GACGAACGCUGGCGGCGUGCUUAACACAUGCAAGUCGAACGAAGAGCGAUGGAAGCUUGCUUCUAUCAAUCUUAGUGGCGAACGGGUGAGUAACGCGUAAUCAACCUGCCCUUCAGAGGGGGACAACAGUUGGAAACGACUGCUAAUACCGCAUACGAUCUAACCUCGGCAUCGAGGAUAGAUGAAAGGUGGCCUCUACAUGUAAGCUAUCACUGAAGGAGGGGAUUGCGUCUGAUUAGCUAGUUGGAGGGGUAACGGCCCACCAAGGCGACGAUCAGUAGCCGGUCUGAGAGGAUGAACGGCCACAUUGGGACUGAGACACGGCCCAGACUCCUACGGGAGGCAGCAGUGGGGAAUCUUCCGCAAUGGACGAAAGUCUGACGGAGCAACGCCGCGUGAGUGAUGACGGCCUUCGGGUUGUAAAGCUCUGUUAAUCGGGACGAAAGGCCUUCUUGCGAAUAGUUAGAAGGAUUGACGGUACCGGAAUAGAAAGCCACGGCUAACUACGUG
Molecule: ribosomal RNA, 510 nt
Filed under: uncultured bacterium
Lineage: Bacteria
Description: partial 16S ribosomal RNA
Rfam family: Bacterial small subunit ribosomal RNA
Source: RNAcentral